This 448-nucleotide ribosomal RNA is filed under the name uncultured bacterium. Its description in RNAcentral is "bacterial SSU rRNA". It matches the Rfam family "Bacterial small subunit ribosomal RNA", at positions 1052 to 1504 of the family's 1533-position model. The record is from RNAcentral.
UCGUCAGCUCGUGCCGUGAGGUGUCAGGUUAAGUCCUAUCACGAGCGCAACCCUUGUCAUUAGUUACCAGCAUGUAGCGGUGGGGACUAUAAAGAUACUGCCGGCGUAAGCCGCGAGGAAGGGGGGGAUGACGUCAAAUCAGCACGGCCCUUACGUCCGGGGCGACACACGUGCUACAAUGGCCAUUACAGAGGGCAGUUACCUGGUGACAGGAUACGAAUCUCUAAAGGUGGUCUUAGUACGGAUUGGAGUCUGCAACUCGACUCCAUGAAGUUGGAUUCGCUAGUAAUCGCAGAUCAGCCAUGCUGCGGUGAAUACGUUCCCGGGCCUUGUACACACCGCCCGUCAAGCCAUGGGAGUUGGUGGUACCUAAAGAGCGUAACCGCGGGGAGCGUUUAAGGGCUAAUGCAGUGAAUAACUGGGGCUAAGUCGUAACAAGGUAGCCGUA